Molecule: non-coding RNA, 194 nt
Organism: Arachis ipaensis
Lineage: Eukaryota; Viridiplantae; Streptophyta; Magnoliopsida; Fabales; Fabaceae
Source: RefSeq, a predicted model, not a curated record
CUCCUAGACUGUUAAAAGAAAGUAGCAAGGUAUCUAAUUUAGUGAAGUUGGCGAACACAUCUGGGAUGUGACCACUGAAACUGUUAGAACUAAGAUCUAAGUAGGUGAGAUGUUUGAGGUUUGAAAGUAAAGAUGGAAUUUCACCAUGAAGUCUGUUUCCUAAAAGUUCCAAAUGAGUUAGUUGAGUGAGAUUC